RNAcentral lists this transfer RNA (72 nucleotides) under Lachnospira sp. RNAcentral describes it as "tRNA-Glu". It matches the Rfam family "tRNA". From Rfam's summary of the family: Transfer RNA (tRNA) molecules are approximately 80 nucleotides in length. Their secondary structure includes four short double-helical elements and three loops (D, anti-codon, and T loops). RNAcentral also lists the same sequence under 2 other names. The record is from RNAcentral. Lineage: Bacteria; Bacillati; Bacillota; Clostridia; Lachnospirales; Lachnospiraceae.
GGCUCGUUGGUCAAGUGGUUAAGACGUCGCCCUCUCACGGCGAAGACAGGGGUUCGACUCCCCUACGAGCUA